Molecule: ribosomal RNA, 397 nt
Filed under: uncultured bacterium
Lineage: Bacteria
Description: partial 16S ribosomal RNA
Rfam family: Bacterial small subunit ribosomal RNA
Source: RNAcentral
AUACGUAGGGGGCGAGCGUUGUCCGGAAUGAUUGGGCGUAAAGGGCGCGUAGGCGGCCCGGUAAGUCUGGAGUGAAAGUCCUGUUUUUAAGAUGGGAAUUGCUUUGGAUGCUGUCGGGCUUGAGUGCAGGAGAGGUAAGUGGAAUUCCCAGUGUAGCGGUGAAAUGCGUAGAGAUUGGGAGGAACACCAGUGGCGAAGGCGACUUACUGGACUGUAACUGACGCUGAGGCGCGAAAGUGUGGGGGGCAAACAGGAUUAGAUACCCUGGUAGUCCACACUGUAAACGAUGAAUGCUAGGUGUAGGGGGUAUCGACCCCUUCUGUGCCGCAGUCAACACAAUAAGCAUUCCGCCUGGGGAGUACGGCCGCAAGGUUGAAACUCAAAGGAAUUGACGGGG